Molecule: ribosomal RNA, 409 nt
Filed under: uncultured bacterium
Lineage: Bacteria
Description: bacterial SSU rRNA
Rfam family: Bacterial small subunit ribosomal RNA
Source: RNAcentral
AGCAGUGGGGAAUUUUGGACAAUGGGCGCAAGCCUGAUCCAGCAAUGCCGCAUGAGUGAAGAAGGCCUUCGGGUUGUAAAGCUCUUUUGUCAGGGAAGAAACGGUGAGAGCUAAUAUCUCUUGCUAAUGACGGUACCUGAAGAAUAAGCACCGGCUAACUACGUGCCAGCAGCCGCGGUAAUACGUAGGGUGCAAGCGUUAAUCGGAAUUACUGGGCGUAAAGCGUGCGCAGGCGGUUUUGUAAGUUUGUCGUGAAAGCCCCGGGCUCAACCUGGGAAUUGCGAUGAAGACUGCAAGGCUUGAAUCUGGCAGAGGGGGGUAGAAUUCCACGUGUAGCAGUGAAAUGCGUAGAGAUGUGGAGGAACACCGAUGGCGAAAGCAGCCCCCUGGGUCAAGAUUGACGCUCAUG